RNAcentral lists this long non-coding RNA (1315 nucleotides) under Dromaius novaehollandiae (emu). Its description in RNAcentral is "lncRNA (ENSDNVG00000002716.1)". Lineage: Eukaryota; Metazoa; Chordata; Aves; Casuariiformes; Dromaiidae. The record is from RNAcentral.
GGUGGUUUGUUUUUUUACAGCCUUUUGACUGUUCUCCUGAGGAAACUUAGUGUUACUAAAUAGUAGUAGGACUGAAUGACUACACUUGUAUCUAAAACCACCAUUUUUUUUUGUGAGAAGAUUCUUCUGCUGGUAGUCUUAGUAUGACAACAAAAAACAAAACACUGUUGUUAGCUUUAUAGCUCCUUGAAUUUUCAGACUGUUUCAAAGAGCUUUUUCCAUAUAGUAAAGCCACAGUGACAAAAAGCUCUUUUGGGGAAUAGGACUUCAAAAGAACUAUACUCCCUCUGCUUUCUGUAGGGCCAUGAAAGUUUACAUGGUGAGAAAGAACAUACUGGGAAUGGAAACUCAUUUAAUUGUGACUGGCAUUUGUGAACUAGCUGCUGGCAGACAAGCAUAUAUCCUGCUCUAGUGCUGAUUUGUCAUCAGAACUCCUUUAUUGUUAAUGUUGAAAUUAAUUAUUUAAUGUUUACACAAUAACUUUUCUGAUGAUAAAUCAGUAUUAAAGUUAGGGGAGUCCCAUUUUAAUCCUCCAUUUGCAAAUACCAUUCUUUCAGCAACACAGUUGGUAUAGGAACUAUUACUGAAUUAAUUUUCCAAUACUUCAUGGAGUCUAUCCAUAGUGGGGAGUAUUUCGCCCUGGGAACUUUCAAAACAUAGUGAAGAAUGGAGCAUUCUUAAGAUGGUAAAUGAUUUACACAGACUAGUUCAUCCUUUACUAAUAUUUGCCACUGGGUUUGAAAUCCUAGCCAUCUGAAAGGGUAAAGAAGGAAAAACAAUUUUACACCCUUAGGUCUUCAUAUAGUGUUGAGAAUAGCUUAAGACAAACCAUAACCUGCCUGAGUUGUCCAUAUCAGCUUAUAACUAUGUCAAUGGUAUAGAAACACUGUAUUUUAGUUUACAGAACACAUUUAGUAUUUUUUUCCAUUUAAUGUCUAGAUAUAAAAAUGAAGAAACUUGAUUUGUUUUUAGUAGAAGCCUUUUUUGUUUUUUUUUAAUUGUACAUAGUGAAAUGAGUGUUCCUGCUUUCUAGACAAUGUAUUUUAAAACCUUGAAAUUAAGCUAACUUAAGUCUGACUUCACUUUGCAUGCUUCUAUUUGGCCCCUAUUAGAAAAAAAAGAUACUUGUAUUGACUACAUUACCAGUUUAAUAAGACCAUUUAUGCUGUAGUUUUAAGUUUUUCUGUUUACAUAGCUUAGUGACAACCAUGCAUUUUUCCCAGUAGGCGCAUAGUAUUUGCAGUGUUUCAUAUUUAUAAAAAAAAAAAAACUUGCAUCUUAUUUAAAUUGAGAAUAAAAGUUUGACUAUGAAUCA